This 500-nucleotide ribosomal RNA is filed under the name uncultured bacterium. Its description in RNAcentral is "partial 16S ribosomal RNA". It matches the Rfam family "Bacterial small subunit ribosomal RNA", at positions 30 to 523 of the family's 1533-position model. The record is from RNAcentral.
AUUGAACGCUGGCGGAAUGCUUUACACAUGCAAGUCGAACGGCAGCACGGACUUCGGUCUGGUGGCGAGUGGCGAACGGGUGAGUAAUGUAUCGGAACGUGCCCAGUCGUGGGGGAUAACGUAGUGAAAAUUACGCUAAUACCGCAUACGAUCUAUGGAUGAAAGCGGGGGAUCGCAAGACCUCGCGCGAUUGGAGCGGCCGAUAUCAGAUUAGGUAGUUGGUGGGGUAAAGGCCCACCAAGCCAACGAUCUGUAGCUGGUCUGAGAGGACGACGAGCCACACUGGGACUGAUGCACGGUCCAGACUCCUACGGGAGGCAGCAGUGGGGAAUUUUGGACAAUGGGCGAAAGCCUGAUCCAGCCAUUCCGCGUGCAGGAUGAAGGCCCUCGGGUUGUAAACUGCUUUUGUACAGAACGAAAAGGUUUCUACUAAUACUAGGAGCUCAUGACGGUACUGUAAGAAUAAGCACCGGCUAACUACGUGCCAGCCGCCGCAGUAA